This 63-nucleotide transfer RNA is filed under the name Eisenia nordenskioldi pallida. Its description in RNAcentral is "tRNA-Asp". Lineage: Eukaryota; Metazoa; Annelida; Clitellata; Crassiclitellata; Lumbricidae. The record is from RNAcentral.
GAAAUACUAGUUAAAUAAUAACAAUGUCUUGUCAAGCCAUAAUUACUUCCCGAGUGUGUUUCC